AUUUGUACAGGGGCGAAAGCGUGAUCCAGCAUGCGCGUGAUGUAGAAGGUCUUGGGAUUGUAAGGCACUUAAGUGGGAAAAGGGAAUUAUCUUAAUACGGUAGGUUUGACGUUACGACAGAAUAAGUACCGGGUAAUUCGUGCCAGCAGCCGCGGUUAUACGAAGGGGGCAAUGUUAAUCGGGAUUACUGGGGUAAAGCGCAGUAGGGGUUCGUAAAGUUGGAGUGGAAGUCCGGGGCUCAACCUGGGAACGCAUCCAAAACUGACGAGGAGAGUACGGUAGAGGGUGGUGAAUUUCCUGUGAGUGGUGAAAUUGUAGAUAUUGGAAGGAACACCAGUGGUUUAGGGACCAUAUGGACUGAUAUGACAUUGAGGUGAGAAAGCGGGGGGAGCAAACGGGAUUAGAUUCCUC
RNAcentral lists this ribosomal RNA (411 nucleotides) under uncultured marine bacterium. RNAcentral's name for it is "bacterial SSU rRNA". It matches the Rfam family "Bacterial small subunit ribosomal RNA", at positions 362 to 788 of the family's 1533-position model. The record is from RNAcentral.